RNAcentral lists this ribosomal RNA (497 nucleotides) under uncultured bacterium. RNAcentral describes it as "partial 16S ribosomal RNA". It matches the Rfam family "Bacterial small subunit ribosomal RNA", at positions 28 to 507 of the family's 1533-position model. The record is from RNAcentral.
GAUGAACGCUGGCGGCGUGCCUAAUACAUGCAAGUCGAGCGAACAGACGAGGAGCUUGCUCCUCUGACGUUAGCGGCGGACGGGUGAGUAACACGUGGAUAACCUACCUAUAAGACUGGGAUAACUUCGGGAAACCGGAGCUAAUACCGGAUAAUAUAUUGAACCGCAUGGUUCAAUAGUGGAAGACGGUUUUGCUGUCACUUAUAGAUGGAUCCGCGCCGCAUUAGCUAGUUGGUAAGGUAACGGCUUACCAAGGCAACGAUGCGUAGCCGACCUGAGAGGGUGAUCGGCCACACUGGAACUGAGACACGGUCCAGACUCCUACGGGAGGCAGCAGUAGGGAAUCUUCCGCAAUGGGCGAAAGCCUGACGGAGCAACGCCGCGUGAGUGAUGAAGGUCUUCGGAUCGUAAAACUCCGUUAUUAGGGAAGAACAAAUGUGUAAGUAACUAUGCACGUCUUGACGGUACCUAAUCAGAAAGCCACGGCUAACUACGUG